Molecule: long non-coding RNA, 691 nt
Organism: Gossypium raimondii (Peruvian cotton)
Lineage: Eukaryota; Viridiplantae; Streptophyta; Magnoliopsida; Malvales; Malvaceae
Exons: 2
Source: RefSeq, a predicted model, not a curated record
CCUACAAUUAGAACAUUUCCAGCUCAAGCUUUCAAUUAGAAACCCAGUUCUGGUAUUAACCAGCAAAACGUCAAACGAGAAGACAAAAGUUACACUGAUUUCUCUUUCCAAACCUUUCAAUCAUCAACCAACACAAAUCAGACUGUGAGCAGCAACAAGCAUGGAGCUUCAAAGAGUAUGUAAAGGAAGACGGUUUUUCCUCAAGGAAGAACAUGGUGAAAUCAAAAUACAACCAGAUGCAGAACUUUUCCCAAUGGCGUGCCACAUAAGCACGAAGUCAUAGAUGACAUCAUAGAUGAUGAUUCUCCAGCGAAAAACAGCCGGUAAACAAAACCAUGUUACUGGUAGUGGUGGUGAUGCUGUUGUUGGGGACAAAAUGAAGUCAUUUGGUGCUGACUUUAUGGCAACAACUGGAACAUCGAAUGAGGAAAGUAAACUGGAUUCUGAAUUGCGUCGAAAGCGAAAGGGAAAACCAUUCUCGAAGAAGGCAAAGAAGCAUUCAAAGAAAGAGUUAAAGAAGGCGAACUAGAAGGUAACGAAGACGACUGGUCCGCCAUUGAAGCAAUUGAUCGAACAGAUUCUUGACAUUGAGUAAUCUUCUUAUUAGGUCGUUGCGACAUGGAAGCUUCACCAAAAAUCGGCUUCCAUUAUCGCUUCUUGAACCCAAAAUAAAGCUCGUUCCCUUUCUCAA